RNAcentral lists this ribosomal RNA (521 nucleotides) under Poecilasma inaequilaterale. RNAcentral describes it as "partial 16S ribosomal RNA". It matches the Rfam family "Bacterial large subunit ribosomal RNA", at positions 1834 to 2618 of the family's 2925-position model. The record is from RNAcentral. Lineage: Eukaryota; Metazoa; Arthropoda; Thecostraca; Poecilasmatidae.
UUCUUCUUUAUUAAGAAGUAAGGCCUGCUCACUGAAUUUUAAAGAGCCGCAGUAUUCUAACUGUGCUAAGGUAGCAUAAUAAUUAGUCUUUUAAUUGGAGGCUGGUAUGAAUGGUUUAACGAGAAAUCAACUUUUUUAAAGGUAAAAAUCUAAUUUAGGAUUUAAGUGAAAACACUUAAAUAUUAUAGUAAGACGAGAAGACCCUAUAGAGUUUAAUAAAUUUUAAAUUUAGAAUUAAUAGUAGAAAAAGUAUUAGAUUAAAAAUUUAUUUUGUUGGGGCGACAUGGAAAUAUAAAAAACUUUUUAUUUAAUAAACUUAUAUUGAAGAAUAAAUUUGAUCCUUAAAAAAGAUUAAAAGAAAAAAUUACCUUAGGGAUAACAGCGUAAUUUUUCUUGAGAGUUCUAAUCGACAGAAAGGUUUGCGACCUCGAUGUUGGACUAAAAUUAGUAUAGGGCGCAGAAGUUCUAUUUUUUGGUCUGUUCGACCAAUAGUUUUUUACGUGAUCUGAGGUUUCAGACCG